GACGAACGCUGGCGGCGUGCCUAACACAUGCAAGUCGAACGAGACCUUCGUGUCUAUUUGCGCACGUGUGCUUAACACGGGGUAACCUACCCUUAGGUUAGGAAUAACUCCCCGAAGGGUGUCCUCAUACCAGAUAGUGUCAUACCACCAAAGACCUACUGCCUUUGGAUGGGCCCUCGUUGGAUUAGCUAGUUGGUAGGGGAAUAGCAUACCAAGGCGAGGAUCCAUAGCUGGUCUGAGAGGAUGGUUAUCUACACUGGGACUGAGACACGGACUAGACUCGUACGCGAGGGAGCAGUGGGGAAUAUUGGACAAGGGGCGAAAGUCUGAUACAGCAACGCGGCGGAAGUGAUCAAGGGAUUAGUGUUGUAAAGCUCCUUUACACGGGAUGAUAAUGACGGUACCGGGAGAAUAAGCUCCGGCUAACUCCGUG
Molecule: ribosomal RNA, 433 nt
Filed under: uncultured bacterium
Lineage: Bacteria
Description: partial 16S ribosomal RNA
Rfam family: Bacterial small subunit ribosomal RNA
Source: RNAcentral